RNAcentral lists this ribosomal RNA (433 nucleotides) under uncultured bacterium. RNAcentral describes it as "partial 16S ribosomal RNA". It matches the Rfam family "Bacterial small subunit ribosomal RNA", at positions 29 to 507 of the family's 1533-position model. The record is from RNAcentral.
AACGAACGCUGGCGGCAUGCCUAACACAUGCAAGUCGAACGAGACCUUCGGGUCUAGUGUCGCACGGGUGCGUAACGCGUGGGAACCUGCCCUUAGGUUCGGGAUAACUCCCCGAAAGGGGUGCUAAUAUCGGAUAAUGUCUUCGGACCAAAGAUUUAUCGCCUUUGGAUGGGCCCGCGUUGGAUUAGCUAGUUGGUAGGGUAAAAGCCUACCAAGGCGACGAUCCCUAGCUGGUCUGAGAGGAUGAUCAGCCACACUGGGACUGAGACACGGCCCAGACUCCUACGGGAGGCAGCAGUGGGGAAUAUUGGACAAUGGGCGCAAGCCUGAUCCAGCAAUGCCGCGUGAGUGAUGAAGGCCUUAGGGUUGUAAAGCUCUUUUAGCCGGGAUGAUAAUGACGGUACCGGGAGAAUAAGCUCCGGCUAACUCCGUG